UGGGAUUCAUUUAUACCAUCAUCUUGCCCAUGAUUUUUAGUUUAUUAUUAGAUAAUUUUGCAUUUAUAUGUAGCAUCCCUACAACUAACCAAGGUAAAAAAAGAAAAAAAGAAAAAAAAGAAAAAAAAAAAGAGGAACAUUUAUACGUUUUAAGUUAUUCUCUUGUCUCCAAUAAUGUAUCUAUUUAGUCUAACAAUUAAUUUCACAAGGCAUUCUAACUACAAUUAAAAUGUAAUCAAUUUCAUAAUGACAUAUGUUGCUAACCAAUUAAUAUCAGUUAACAUCUUUAGUACAAAUUAAUAAUCAACUUUCUUAAACAACAACGAAAAUGAACAAAUUAAAAAAAAGGUGCAUAAUUGUUUUACGGAUUUAAUUAUAUAAACAAUAAUCAGGUUAACUCCAGUGAUCAAUUGAAUAUUCUCUCGGUCGACGUAUUUUUCAAGAUCAAAUUUCAAUGGGUAUAUUUUGAAGAAUGGGAUCGCUAAUUAUACAGGAAAAAAUCAAUGCCAUAUGCUUACACCAUACAAUUCUUCGAGGUGAUAUCGUCCCAAAAAACUCAACUUCUGCAAUUUCGCUGUGAAUAGCUAUUACCAAAGAAACGGACAGGUUGUUGAAUCCCACAGCAAGCUGCCCAUUUAUUUGGUAAUAGCUAUUCACUGCAAAACCUGCCCGUUUUAUGACUUCAGAUUCAUAAAAUAAGAAAAACUCACAGAGUUAAAAAUUCAAUGUUGCGAAGCAUAAAUCUUCAGUGCUGAGAGAGGGCGAUAGGGAUUAAGCAACGACGUCGUCGACAGCUCUAUCACGGGUCCUCCAGCGGAACUCGAUGGCAACAAACCUGACGGAGCCCGAACGCUCUUUAAUGCGUCCCUGUACUUCUUAUACAAGAUCGUCUGAUUCCUCGUCGCCAUUGAAAAGGAAAAACUAAAAAUAAAACUUGACCACGAGAUAACGACUUCAAUUCAAAAUCAAUUACGAUAUGAAUGAGAUCUGUAGUUUUGCAGAUUAGUAGAUUUCUCGUUCAGUGUCAGGUUCGGGAUCAGAAAGGCUCCAGAGAGAAGUCGGAAUCUGUCACGGUCGGACUCCACCUGCAACUUCACAACUACCGUAAAGCAAAAAUGGGAUGAUUUCCAGUAGGGUUAGCUGAAUAUGUAACCAAUUGAAAUAGAAGAAACAGAAUGGGGGAGGGAUUAGAUGAUGUAAAAAGAGAAGAGAUGAGAGGCGAAAUGAGUCGGAGAAUCAAUUCACUACCAACACAAAUUGCAGACCAUAAUAAAUUCAUCGAUCCCCUCCAAAAUGCCGAGCUACGACCAUAUAUACAACCAAACAACAACCCUCAAAGUAAAGGGCUUUGGGGCUGGCCCAUUAACAAUAAAAGUAAAUUAAUCUGGUUGAAUUUUCGGACGGAUUGGAUUUUCUCAGUCAUUUCAACAAUUCUACUUGACGGUGUGGAACUCUUUGAAGGAAAUCNUUUUAUACAAUAAUAAUUUCACAUUCAUA
Molecule: long non-coding RNA, 1497 nt
Filed under: Olea europaea subsp. europaea
Lineage: Eukaryota; Viridiplantae; Streptophyta; Magnoliopsida; Lamiales; Oleaceae
Source: RNAcentral